This 446-nucleotide ribosomal RNA is filed under the name uncultured bacterium. Its description in RNAcentral is "partial 16S ribosomal RNA". It matches the Rfam family "Bacterial small subunit ribosomal RNA", at positions 338 to 795 of the family's 1533-position model. The record is from RNAcentral.
CCUACGGGCGGCAGCAGUCGAGAAUCAUUCACAAUGGGGGAAACCCUGAUGGUGCGACGCCGCGUAGGGGAAUGAAGGUCUUCGGAUUGUAAACCCCUGUCAUGUGGGAGCAAAUUAAAAAGAUAGUACCACAAGAGGAAGAGACUGCUAACUCUGUGCCAGCAGCCGCGGUAAUACAGAGGUCUCAAGCGUUGUUCGGAAUCACUGGGCGUAAAGCGUGCGUAGGCUGUUUCGUAAGUCGUGUGUGAAAGGCGCGGGCUCAACCCGCGGACGGCACAUGAUACUGCGAGACUAGAGUAAGGGAGGGGGAACCGGAAUUCUCGGUGUAGCAGUGAAAUGCGUAGAUAUCGAGAGGAACACUCGUGGCGAAGGCGGGUUCCUGGACAGUAACUGACGCUGAGGCACGAAGGCCAGGGGAGCGAAAGGGAUUAGAUACCCUAGUAGUC